RNAcentral lists this unclassified non-coding RNA (389 nucleotides) under soil metagenome. Its description in RNAcentral is "partial contains 5.8S ribosomal RNA, internal transcribed spacer 2, and large subunit ribosomal RNA". The stretch from base 1 to 122 matches the Rfam family "5.8S ribosomal RNA", at positions 35 to 154 of the family's 154-position model. The record is from RNAcentral.
GAUGAAGAACGCAGCGAAAUGCGAUACUUGGUGUGAAUUGCAGAAUCCCGCGAAUCAUCGAGUUUUUGAACGCAAGUUGCGCCCGAAGCCAUUCGGCCGAGGGCACGUCUGCCUGGGUGUCACGCAUCGUUGCCCCCCCAAACUCCGGUUCGGGCGGGGCGGAAGUUGGCCUCCCGUGCGUGCCUGCGCGCGCGGUUAGCCCAAAAGCGAGUCCUCGGCGAUGAGCGCCACGACAAUCGGUGGUUUUUUUACCCUCGUUCCUCGUCGUGCGUGCCCCGUCGCCCGAACGCGCUCUUGCAACCCUUACGCGUCGCCUCGGUGGCGCUCCCAACGCGACCCCAGGUCAGGCGGGACUACCCGCUGAGUUUAAGCAUAUCAAUAAGCGGAGG